UCCUACGGGAGGCAGCAGUGAGGAAUAUUGCGCAAUGGGCGAAAGCCUGACGCAGCAACGCCGCGUGGGGGAUGAAGCUUUAUGGAGUGUAAACCCCUGUAAGCAGGGACGAAAGUUACCUAUACAAACAGGAUGGGUAUUUGACGGUACCUGCAGAGUAAGCUCCGGCUAACUCCGUGCCAGCAGCCGCGGUAAUACGGGGGGAGCAAGCGUUGUCCGGAAUUACUGGGCGUAAAGGGCGUGUAGGCGGUAUUGUAAGUCAGAUGUAAAAGGUUACGGCUUAACCGUAGAGUGUCAUUUGAAACUACAGUACUUGAGUGCGAGAGAGGGUAGUGGAAUUCCCAGUGUAGCGGUGAAAUGCGUAGAUAUUGGGAAGAACACCAGUAGCGAAGGCGGCUACCUGGCUCGUAACUGACGCUAAUGCGCGAAAGCGUGGGGAGCGAACAGGAUUAGAUACCCUGGUAGUCCACGCCGUAAACGAUGAACACUAGGUGUUGGUCCCGACGUGUCGGGAUCGGUGCCGCAGCAAACGCAUUAAGUGUUCCGCCUGGGGAGUACGAUCGCAAGGUUGAAACUCAAUGAAUUGACGG
This 590-nucleotide ribosomal RNA is filed under the name uncultured bacterium. RNAcentral describes it as "bacterial SSU rRNA". It matches the Rfam family "Bacterial small subunit ribosomal RNA", at positions 337 to 916 of the family's 1533-position model. The record is from RNAcentral.